This 24-nucleotide non-coding RNA is filed under the name Arabidopsis thaliana (thale cress). Lineage: Eukaryota; Viridiplantae; Streptophyta; Magnoliopsida; Brassicales; Brassicaceae. The record is from RNAcentral.
CACAAUAGUUCAACGUCUACCACC